This is a long non-coding RNA of Chenopodium quinoa (quinoa), 1946 nucleotides long. RefSeq lists it as uncharacterized. The record is from RefSeq and is a predicted model, not a curated record. The transcript has 3 exons. Lineage: Eukaryota; Viridiplantae; Streptophyta; Magnoliopsida; Caryophyllales; Amaranthaceae.
AAAAGAUAAAAAUUAAUCCAAUAUUGAUUUAAUCUUUAGAAUUAAUUAAAUUAAUUUCUCUUUUAUAUAAAUACUCAACCCCCCUCUUUCUCAACACUCCCAACAACAACAAAAAAAAACCCAUAAAAACUUUUUCUCUCUCCUCUCAACUCCUAACUUCCUUCACUUGCUCUCUCUGCCUCUCCCAAUUCAAACCCAGAAAAGUACAGUACACACUUUUUUCUUGUUCCCUGUUUUUUAUUUAAUUUUCCGAUCUAUCUAAAUUGAAUUGAAAUUGAAAAAGAUGGGGGGAAUUUAAGAAGAAUAUAAAGCUUUGUUUGUGGAAGAAACAAGCUUUUAUAACCGCAUUGUAUUGGGAUUUGCUUUGCCGUCGAUGAUGUGGGAUUUUCUUCCACAUUUUUUACAAACUUGGCUCAGAAACUACAUUGGUGGUGUUUUUUUGUAUUUGGGUUCUAGUUUUCUCUGGUGCUUUGUUAUUUAUUAUUGGAAGCGCAACCUCUUUAUUCCUAAAGAUUGCAUACCAUCAAAAAGAGCUAUGUUAUUACAAAUUGGAGUGGCAAUGUAGGCCAUGCCUUGGUAUACCCUUCUUCCGAAGAUUUCUGAAUAUAUUAUUGAACAAGGGUGGACAAGAUGUUUUCCUCGAAUCAGUGACAUCGGUUUGUCAGCCGAUAUUUACUGAUUUAUCUUUUAAUCGUGGAAUUUGGGAUUUACUAGGUGCAUAGAGAAUUACAUGAUAUAAAACCGCUUUACAAGUAUCUCUAUGCAACCCAUCCAGUGGCGGACCCAGGAAUUUUCGACUGGUGAGUCACAAUUGAUAACUAAAUAUGUAAAUAAAUUUUUUUAUCAAACAACCAAAUAAUAGUACUAAAAAAUACAUCCAAAAACCCAGAAAUCAUAUAUCCUCUGUUCUUGUAUCCUCUUUCUCUAAAGCAAAUCAUCAACCAGUUUCAGUGCAAUGGAAAAUGAACAAAAAACUUAGAUUUUUUUUGGCACAAUAGGACCAUGCCGAACUCUAACUACAGAGUUUCUGAAAUCAGAUGAAUAGACUGAUUAGGAUAAGAGAUGAUAUAUUGAUAUCCAAUUAAAAAAACCCCAGCAAAACACAUCCCACCUCAUAAUACUCCUUCAUUCUUUGGUUUUUCACUAUUUUUUUGGCUCCAAAAUUAUCUCUUUCACUUUCUCUCUCCUCUUCAAUAAUGGUGUCACUCUCCCUCCUUUCAACACUCCCUUCUCUCUCUUCUCCCGCCAUUUCUACUACUUCCUGUAUGAUUCCCAAUUUCUCACAUUUUCAUUCAAUUUUACUCCAAAUUAUAUGAUUAACUUAAUUUUAGCAUAAUUUCAGGGUACAAUUCGCUGUAGUAGUAACAAUUUGGAGGUAGAUGAUGAUCUAGCACCCAGGAUUUUUUUGUUUUUUUUUUUUUUUAAAAAACUAAGAUUUUUUUUUUGGGCCCUGGUGAGUCAUUUGACCCACCAGGCACAAAGGCAGGUCCGCUACUGAACCCAUCACAUAUACAACAAGCAAAAUACUCUUUCUCCUUUUGCUGGUCUUGCAUUUCAUCCCCUUGACGGCAAUUUACAAGCCGUGCCUCAUUUUUGUGCUCUAUUUGUUGUUCCGGUUCAUCUUACGACUCACAUAGCCCUUAUUUUUAUUGAAGGUUUAUGGACAACAAAUAUUCAUGAUUGUAUUCAUGGAAAAGUAUGGCCGGUUAUGGGGGUUAUCAUACUAUUCACCACACUACUUAUCGACAUAAUUAUGGCCAUUAUACCAAAGAAGGUUUGCUAAUGUGUAGUCAUAUUAAAAUUGUAUUCAUACAUUUAAUUUGUUUUAGUGGAACUUGACUUUUGUUCAUCUCCUCGUUGAAACAGUGUAAAUUAUUUUUGGUUGGUGAUAAAUGUUUUUAUUUGAGGAUUAUACAUUACUAUAGAAAGGGUUAAUUAUUAGGAAA